This is a long non-coding RNA of Vulpes vulpes (red fox), 2101 nucleotides long. The record is from Ensembl. NCBI's taxonomy places the organism in Eukaryota, Metazoa, Chordata, Mammalia, Carnivora, Canidae.
AUGCUUCUAUCAGCAUCCCUCUGGGAGCUUAUCUUCAACCCGCCUGAAAUUAUCUGCAGGACCCACGGUGGCCUGCGCUCACCGAGGGCUCCGGGACAGGCACAGGGCUGGGGCAUCCUGGGUCUCGCCCGUCCUCUGUCCUGGGCUGUUGCGAACUCCUCAAAUCUGAAAGUCCGAGAUUUCCUCUCCGUGUCACGGAUGAGACCACGGAAGCACAGAGAGGUGAAGCGAGGUGCCCACGGUCACACAGCUGGUCCAUGGGGAGCAGGACGUCAGCCCAGGGCGAGCGGCUCCACCACCUGUGCCGUUAACUCUGCGACAGUGACCAAGUGCCUGGGUGACAAUCCUCUCCCCAGCCUCUGCGUGGACCCAGCUCCCAGCUCUAGGAUGCCCCGGUCAGCCGCCUCUUUGUCUUCCUCUUCUUCCCCCUUCCUCCUCCUCCUUCCUUCCUCCUCCUUCUCCCUCCUUUGUCCUCCUUCUCCCUCCUUCUUCCCCCUUCCUCCUCCUUCUCCCUCUUUCCUCCUCUUUCUCCCUCCUUCCUCCUCCUUCCUCCUCCUUCUCCCUCCUUCACCUUCCUUCUCCAUCCUUCUCCCUCCUUUGUCCUCCUUCCUCCUCCUUCUCCCUCCACCCUCCUCCUCUCUCCCUCUCCCUCCUCCAUCCUUCUCCCUCCUUCAUCUUCCUUCUCCCUCCUUCUUCCUCCUCCCUUUCUCCCUCUUCCUUCCUUCUCCCUGCUUCAUCCUUCUCCUUCCUUCGUCCUCCUUCUCCCUCCUUCUUCCUCCUCCAUCCUUCUCCCUCCUUCUCCCUCCUUCAUCCUCCUUCUCCCUCCUUCAACCUCCUUCUUCCUCCUUCAUCCUCCCACCGCCCCCUUUCUUCCCCUUCCUCCCCUGCCCCCGAUGUGUGCACCCCCAGCAGAACGUCAGCUCCAGGAGAAAGCUGUCUUGUCCACCCCGUGUGUGUGUGUGUGUGUGUGUGUGUGUGUGUGUCGGGAGGCUCACCUCCUGGAUCGGAGCCCAUGGGCGACGGGGUGCGUGCUGGAGUUCGCCACCCGGAGGUCGGGUGGGGUGGAGGGUCCCAGCACCACUCUCCACGAGGCCCCGAUGAACCAUGGAGCUUCCCUGGACCUCACAUUCUGCUUUUGCAAAAUCAGGGAAGCAGACACCAGCCUGAUGUGAGGAUUCCAUUCCUGGCCCAGCCUGGACCCGAAGGCCGCUCAGACGGCACCCCCACGUCUCGGCCCAGGACCGCAGAACCCAGCUGUCUGCCGGGCUCUCAGCCUCCUACCACUCGGGCAUCCACGCACGUUUAAUUUGAUCCAGGGGAGGAAAUCAUCUCUGUUUUUGGUGGUGGUGGCACUAAUGGUCUAUUUCCUGCUCAGCGCUCGGUGCCGAGUUGGCAAUAAUGUAGAAAAAUUAGUAUUAUCAGGACUGCCUUCAGAGCAAUCUCUUGCACCAGAGUCCCUGACACGUUAAUUAAACUUGAUAAAUGCUCUUGUCUAAAGAUAACUUUUGAACAAUGGAUCUAGUCACCCACUUAAAUAGUUGCAGGCGCGCUCCGGCAAAUUGCCGAGGCGGCGCUCAGAGAUCCCCGGUCCGGCAGCGGGGCUGGGGUGCUGGGGAGAGGGACCUCCGCGGGCCUUUGCAGGGCCCGACACAGGCCUCGGGGGACCGAGGAGGGCAGAGGGCUGUCCCUCCUCAGUUCCAAGCAGGAAUUCUGCCUGCCUCUGCUUGCAAUUCCUGCACAAGCCCCUCCCUGCUCGGCACCCCAUCCCAUCACCAUAGCAACCCAUUCUGCGAUGGGCACUGUUGGGGGAGGCAGGAGAGCCCAGAGAGAGGACCUUUGUCCCUCUCUUUUCAUUGUUUGUUGUCCUGGGGACGACUCAUCCAGGAAGGGCAUCGUUUUCUGGGACAUUCUUCUCCCCUCCGCCCUCCAGACGCUCCAGUGCUGGAAAAGCCCACGAUGCAGGAAGCUCCUCCCGGGACCUCAGCAACAGAACCUGGCCUGCCCGGGGCCCAGCAUCCAGACACCGGGUCAUGUGACUGUUCGCAGCACCCCAAUUCCAUCUAGCUGUGUCCGAGGCAGAGACGCGAGGGGCCACGAGGUG